This 28-nucleotide small RNA is filed under the name Bombyx mori (domestic silkworm). Its description in RNAcentral is "ovarian small RNA-9677". The record is from RNAcentral. Lineage: Eukaryota; Metazoa; Arthropoda; Insecta; Lepidoptera; Bombycidae.
UUCUUGAUGCGCUGAUGAUGAAGGCUGC